Oncorhynchus kisutch (coho salmon) is the source of this 3717-nucleotide long non-coding RNA. Lineage: Eukaryota; Metazoa; Chordata; Actinopteri; Salmoniformes; Salmonidae. The record is from Ensembl.
CCAAUCAAAGAAUGUUAGCUAUAUGCAGUUAUCUUAGCCAGCCAGCUAACGUUUGCUAUAUAUCCUAAGCAGCAUAACCAACCAGCACGGUUAUGGUCAGCAGAGACCAACUACCGGAGACCAAUUAUAACCCAUCUAACAGUAAGCCAAGGUGUAAAAAGUUACAAAACUCCCGUAGUCGAAUUCACAGAAAACAUGCUGAAAAGUAGUGAUGGGGAAACAAAGCUUCCUGUAGCAUUGGCUCUUUCCAGAUAAUUGUUUUUAAAAAAUAGGUUCAUUACUCAAGGCUUUGAGCGACACAGAAAGAAUUUAGAACAGCCACAUUUUGAAAGAUGACGUCCCAUACCGUAACAGCGUAGCCUUCAUGUCUUCUACGAAACCACGGGCCUUGAUCGAGAGCAUUAAGUCCAUACUGCAUUGUGGGUAAACGGUGACUAGCUGACUGCAAAGUCGAACGAGCCCAAUACCAAACCAAUCAGGUGUUCGACGAAAUGAUUCUUCAGACGUCAUUGAUCACGUGCUGCUGAUAAAGGGACACUGCUUUGAAUUAUACCGCUUAGCGAAUUCAGUACAUGCCUCAUAGCUCCAGUCUCAAACUUAACCCCGUUCCUGAUGAUGAAGAAGAGGUGGUCUGCCUGCUGGAUGGAGAAAGACGCUCUCGUGGAAGAGGAGGCUGUUACAAUACAAAAACAAGUAGAGGUUGAGGCUGUUACCGUGAAAGAAGAAGAGAAAGAGGUCUCAGUUAAAGAAGAGGAAGACUCGUUCAGAGUCAAAGAGGAGGACGGCGACGUUUCAGUGAAAGAAGAGGAGGGGGAGGUGACUGUCAUAUCGGAAAAUGAAGAAGAGGAGGAAACUGGAUAUCUGGGCCCGGUUUCCCAAGCGCAUCUUAAGGCGUCCGAUGGUUCUAACGAUGAAGGGGCCCUGCUUAACACGAGAGAGAGACGGGACUACCGUGGAUCCUCUGGGGAGCCUCAACAACCUCAUGAUGCUGACAAGGCAGAGAAGAGUCUCUCCAGAUCAGAACCCCCCAAGAAACGCCUGCAGAGAUCCACAGGGAAGAGAACUCACUGCUGCUCUGACUGUGGGAAGAGAUUCACCUCAUCAGGCAUUACAAUUCAUCAGCGAACACACACAGGGGAGAAAUCUUAUAGCUGUGAUCAAUGUGGGAAGAGUUUUACUACAUCUGGCUCUCUGACUUUACACAGGAGAGAAACCUUAUAGCUGUACUCAAUGUGGGAAGUGUUUUACUCAGCUCAGCAGCCUAAUAACACACCAGAGAAUACACACAGGAGAGAAACCUUAUAGCUGUACUCAAUGUCGGAAGAGUUUUAAUAAUCCAUCCGGCCUGAUAUCACACCAGAGAACACACACAGGAGAGAAACCUUAUAGCUGUACUCAAUGUGGGAAGAGGUUUACUCAACAAUGCAACCUGAUAUCACACCAGAGAACACACACAGGAGAGAAAUCUUAUAGCUGUGAUGAAUGUGGGAAGAGUUUUGCCCAAUCUGGAGCGCUGACAGUGCACCAGAGAAUACACACAGGAGAGAAACCUUAUAGCUGUGGUCAAUGUGAGAAGAGUUUUGGUAAACUGGAGAUCUGAGAGUUCACCAGAGAACACACACAGGAGAGAAACCUUAUAGCUGUGGUCAAUGUGGGAAGAGUUUUGGUCAAUCUGGAGAUCUGAGAGUGCACCAGAGAACACACACAGGAGAGAGACCUUAUAGCUGUGAUCAAUGUGGGAAGAGUUUUGCCCAAUCUGGAGCGCUGACAGUGCACCAGAGAAUACACACAGGAGAGAGACCUUAUAGCUGUAGUCAAUGUGGGAACAGUUUUGCUGCAUCAAGAACUCUGACUCAACACCAGAGAAUACACACAAGAGAGAAAUCUUUUGUCUGUGAAUAAUGUGGGAAGAUUUUUGGCAAUCUGGCCAUCUGGUAUCACACCAGAGAGCACACACAGGAGAGAAAUCUUAUAGCUGUGAUCAGUGUGCCAAGAGAUACUUUAAUAAAAUAUCUCUGAUCAAACAUCAGAAAAUACAUACAUGAAGAAGUUGUUUCAUGAUAUCAAUGAAAAAAUGUCACAAUGUAGAAUGUUUUAACAUUGUAGUAGGAGUAUUUUAAUGACGUCACAAUGUAGAACCCUAAACAUUUGUCCCCUGUUCUAUUGAUGAGUUAUAACAAAUAAGUGUUGUGUUCCUUUGUUUAGUGACUCCUAAAUUUAAAUGCAUCACUCCAAAAUGUAGCUGACUAUCUUCUGCAGGUUGUCCUCUAACCAGUGAGGUAAAAGAUAUCUCCCAUUUCCAUGUGUUUUUUUAGUUGUGUUAGUUUCAACAGCACAUUCAACCUAAUUUCCCCUCUAAUCGAUAUCAGUGAUUUAUUGCUUCUUGUCAAAACAACAGCGUUUUUGGUGCUUGUGCAGUUUAUAAGGAGCUUGUUUUAAAAAAUACAAGAAAUAUGAUUAUUGUGGCAGAUGUUUGUCUAUAUAGCACAUUUUAUGUUUAGGUUUUCAAUUUAUCCCAAACUGUUUCUGAUAUUGGUUAUUGAUUUGGAGACGUUAAAACUGUGUUUUGACAUUGGGGAUAUCACACCUAGCAAAAUGUCAUUGAAAAGACGUUGAAAAUAAGACUAUGUAACCGAAUAUUUCAUAUUUACAUUUCAUGUAACAUUUAGUAAUCAUAAUUAUUUAUGCAACCAACUGACAAUUUUUGGGUACAAUUAUAUUGACGUUGUUGCCCUGCUUUUAAAAUAUCAGGGUUAAUUUUCCAGCCUGCUGAAGGUGUGGUGGAGUGGUAAACACCACCCCCUGCUCUCCCAGCUUGAGGUGGUCUCCCACAGCUCUGCUUAUGUCAUGUUCUGUGGCCUUGCCGUUCCAUUUCUUGACUGCCCCUGUAACACAGAAAUAAAUACAUUUAGUCAAAUUAUAUAAAACAUUAAAAGUAAUCGAUAUGGAGCAUCUAUGGCCUCAGUUACACCUUGCACCUAAAUGUGACUUCUGUCAUCUGAUCACUCCAAACUGCAUUAGGUUCAGAUCUACCAGGAUGGGCCUUUGACAGUCUGGAUGCAGUCAGGCCACUGAAUAUAAAUAAGCAACGUAAAGAGGUGGGGUGAAUGAGUGGGGAAAAGUACAUUCUACACAAAUGACCAUAAUAGCAAAGAACAAAUGUGUGUGCCUGAGACCUCCUGUCUCAGCCCCCAGUAUUUAUGCUGCAGUAGUUUGAGUCAGGGGGCUAGGGUCAGUUUGUUAUAUCUGGAGUACUUCUCCUGUCCUAUUCGGCGUCCUGUGUGAAUUUAAGUGUGCUCUCUCUAAUUCUCUCUUUCGGAGGACCUGAGUCCUAGGACCAUGCCUCAGGACUACCUGACACGAUGACUCCUUGCUGUCCCCAGUCCACCUGGCCGUGAUGCUGCUCCAGUUUCAACUGUUCUGCCUUAUUAUUAUUGGUCCAUGCUGGUCAUUUAUGAACAUUUGAACAUCUUGGCCAUGUUCUGUUAUAAUCUCCACCCGGCACAGCCAGAAGAGGACUGGCCACCCCACAUAGCCUGGUUCCUCUCUAGGUUUCUUCCUAGGUUUUGGCCUUUCUAGGGAGUUUUUCCUAGCUACCUUGCUUCUACACCUGCAUUGCUUGCUGUUUGGGGUUUUAGGCUGGGUUUCUGUACAGCACUUUCAGAUAUCAGCUGAUGUAUGAAGGGGUAUAUAAAUAAAAUCAUUAAAAACUGGAAA